Molecule: transfer RNA, 67 nt
Filed under: Eudohrnia metallica
Lineage: Eukaryota; Metazoa; Arthropoda; Insecta; Dermaptera; Forficulidae
Description: tRNA-Glu
Source: RNAcentral
UCGGGGUUAGUUUAAAGUUCAAAACAAGACUUUUUCGUGGUCGAAAUGGAUGCUUGUCCGCCUCGAU